UUUUGUACGGAAUUAAACGGUCCGUAUUAAUACCUUGGGCUAAUGACGGUACCGUAAGAAUAAGCACCGGCUAACUACGUGCCAGCAGCCGCGGUAAUACGUAGGGUGCGAGCGUUAAUCGGAAUUACUGGGCGUAAAGCGUGCGCAGGCGGGUUUGUAAGACAGAGGUGAAAUCCCCGGGCUCAACCUGGGAACUGCCUUUGUGACUGCAGAAAUUGAGUACGGCAAAGGGGGAUGGAAUUCCGCGUGUAGCAGUGAAAUGCGUAAAUAUGCGGAGGAACACCGAUGGCGAAGGCAAUCCCCUGGGCCUGUACUGACGCUCAUGCACGAAAGCGUGGGGAGCAAACAGGAUUAGAUACCCUGGUAGUCCGCGCCCUAAACGAUGUCAACUGGUUGUUGGACGGGCUUCUGUUCAGUAACGAAGCUAACGCGUGAAGUUGACCGCCUGGGGAGACGGUCCGCAGGGUUGAAACUCAAAGGAAUU
Molecule: ribosomal RNA, 484 nt
Filed under: uncultured Pseudomonadota bacterium
Lineage: Bacteria; Pseudomonadati; Pseudomonadota
Description: bacterial SSU rRNA
Rfam family: Bacterial small subunit ribosomal RNA
Source: RNAcentral